Molecule: small nucleolar RNA, 152 nt
Organism: Arachis stenosperma
Lineage: Eukaryota; Viridiplantae; Streptophyta; Magnoliopsida; Fabales; Fabaceae
Product: small nucleolar RNA snoR2/U65
Exons: 1
Source: RefSeq, a predicted model, not a curated record
GGUUCAAUGCCACGUCGCUGAUAGCUAUUUGCUUUGACCAGCGAUGCUAUGAUUGGACCAAUAACAAGAGUUUCACUUGUUUCGCAUCUUGAUAGGAACCUGCGGAUUUCAAUAUUCUAUGAUCUGUGGAGCCGUUUUCUGCGAUUACAUUC